RNAcentral lists this long non-coding RNA (252 nucleotides) under Theobroma cacao (cacao). RNAcentral describes it as "long non-coding RNA (TCAC_LNC000312)". Lineage: Eukaryota; Viridiplantae; Streptophyta; Magnoliopsida; Malvales; Malvaceae. The record is from RNAcentral.
UAUUUGUUUACUCAUUGGGAUUAUAUAAUCUCACCACCCUCUUUUCCACCCAUUUCAGGCUUAGUAUAGUCGGUAGAUAGCUCACUUUGUUGAGGGCUACAGUUGGACUUGCAUCCUCAAAAAAACUGUAGGUUUACCGCUUUAGAUACUUUUGGUCGUUCGGGGGUCCACAUGUCACUGUAAAUUAAAUCUUAUGCAUUGGUUAUCUGUAUUACAGUAUGUAUGAAUUUAUUUAGCUUUUAUACUAUAAAA